This 253-nucleotide ribosomal RNA is filed under the name uncultured bacterium. RNAcentral's name for it is "partial 16S ribosomal RNA". It matches the Rfam family "Bacterial small subunit ribosomal RNA", at positions 524 to 776 of the family's 1533-position model. The record is from RNAcentral.
UACGUAGGGUGCAAGCGUUAAUCGGAAUUACUGGGCGUAAAGCGUGCGCAGGCGGUGAUGUAAGACAGAUGGGAAAUCCCCGGGCUCAACCUGGGAACUGCAUUUGUGACUGCAUCGCUAGAGUACGGCAGAGGGGGAUGGAAUUCCGCGUGUAGCAGUGAAAUGCGUAGAUAUGCGGAGGAACACCGAUGGCGAAGGCAAUCCCCUGGGCCUGUACUGACGCUCAUGCACGAAAGCGUGGGGAGCAAACAGG